GUGAGGAAUAUUGCGCAAUGGACGAAAGUCUGACGCAGCCAUGCCGCGUGAAGGAUUGACGGCCCUAUGGGUUGUAAACUUCUUUUGUAUAGGAAUAAACCCUCGUUCGUGAACGAGGCUGAAGGUACUAUAAGAAUAAGCACCGGCUAACUCCGUGCCAGCAGCCGCGGUAAUACGGAGGGUGCAAGCGUUAUCCGGAUUUAUUGGGUUUAAAGGGUCCGUAGGCGGAUCGUUAAGUCAGUGGUGAAAUCCUACCGCUCAACGGUAGAACUGCCAUUGAUACUGGCGAUCUUGAGUAUGUAUGAAGUUGGCGGAAUGUGUGGUGUAGCGGUGAAAUGCUUAGAUAUGGCACAGAACACCAAUUGCGAAGGCAGCUCACUAAGGCGAUACUGACGCUGAGGCACGAAAGCGUGGGGAUCGAACAGGAUUAGAAACCCCAGUAGUCC
RNAcentral lists this ribosomal RNA (446 nucleotides) under uncultured bacterium. RNAcentral describes it as "partial 16S ribosomal RNA". It matches the Rfam family "Bacterial small subunit ribosomal RNA", at positions 354 to 796 of the family's 1533-position model. The record is from RNAcentral.